GAUGAACGCUAGCGACAGGCUUAACACAUGCAAGUCGAGGGGCAGCGAGGGCGUAGCAAUACGCCUGUCGGCGACCGGCGCACUGGUGAGUAACACGUAUCGCGACCUGCCCCCUACAGGGGAAUAACCCGUAGAAAUGCAGCCUAAUUCCCCAUAGUCCCAAGGGCUGCAUGGCUUUUGGGGGAAAGGUUCAUUCCGGUAGAGGAUGGGGGAUGCGACUGAUUAGCUUGUUGGCGGGGUAACGGCCCACCAAGGCUACGAUCAGUAGGGGUUCUGAGAGGAAGGUCCCCCACAUUGGAACUGAGACACGGUCCAAACUCCUACGGGAGGCAGCAGUGAGGAAUAUUGGUCAAUGGGCGAGAGCCUGAACCAGCCAAGUAGCGUGCGGGACGACGGCCCUAUGGGUUGUAAACCGCUUUUGAUUGGGAACAAAGAGCGCCACGUGUGGUGCGUUGCGUGUACCUUUCGAAUAAGCAUCGGCUAAUUCCGUG
Molecule: ribosomal RNA, 491 nt
Filed under: uncultured bacterium
Lineage: Bacteria
Description: bacterial SSU rRNA
Rfam family: Bacterial small subunit ribosomal RNA
Source: RNAcentral